Non-coding RNA from Paramuricea clavata, 328 nucleotides. NCBI's taxonomy places the organism in Eukaryota, Metazoa, Cnidaria, Anthozoa, Malacalcyonacea, Plexauridae. The record is from the annotation of a GenBank genome assembly.
CCUUCAAUGUGCACAGUUUUGAAUUUUCCAACUUUCACUGUCACCACAGAUAAAUAUUUUACAGGGCAGAGAAUAACGAAUUCAUUUCGCGAAUUUUUCUCGUAGCAAACUGGUAGGCGGAAGCAGCAGGAAUUCCAGGAGUUAUCACAUGAUUAUAAUAUCGAAAAUUAUAUUGACGCAAUCAAAUUUUAAUAUAGAUGGCAAUAUAAACAUAUAUAAUGACAAACUAAAUUAUUAAAUUUGCUACCAGAAUAAAAUUCAAAACUAAAAAAGCCAUCAUAUUGUAAAACCAUUCCAGUUUGACACCCUCAAAAACUGUGAUUCUCAG